GUACUAGAGGAACAGAGAGACAGGAGUCAUUGUCAGUGCAGAGUCUUCUCGACAAGCGCACAGAGUCCAGUCGCCAGGAACUGUCCAGUGAGAUCACCCUGGGAUUCCCCUGCAUCCAGGACCUCAUUCUGCAGUUCCACUGGGACCUUGCCCAAAUCCACCCACAGCGACUAAGAACGCUGCUCCGUGGCCUCUCUUUAGCUAUCAAAUGUGUUUCGUUUCAUCCUUCCCAUUUUCCCAUCUUCCAGCAAGGCUGAAGGAGCCAGUGUCGGGCAGCUCGUCACCCUGCCAGCAGCUCAGAGAACAGUUUUACAGGCGACCAAACCUCCUGAUGCUUUCCAGAUUCCUGGUAGCGCUGGGGCAAGUGGCCUGCUUCCCAUACUGGAUGACAGAGAUUCCGACCCCGCAGUGUGUGCCUUUACUAGAUGGCAAGAACCUGGUUUUCCUUUAUUUGGUCAUCUGCCACCCUAUCAAGUCACCAGUCAAGGUUACUGGCCUCCUCUGACCCCCUCAGGACAACCCAGUGUUACGGCCAGUGACCUGGGCAUUGCCCAGACCUGGCCCUUCUCUGCAACCUUCUGAGUGAAGCUGUUUGGAGGGAAAAAUAAGGCAAAAAGAACGAACGGCAGUAGGUAAUGCAGGAAGUUAUGUCUAUACCGGAGGAAGCAUUUUCCCUCUUACUGCCAGUGCCACCAGGAACAACUAUUCAGGGAGGAUGAGAAAAAAAGGUACGUAAUCACACCGCGGGUAUAAAGGUUUUCCUCACCCUCUACGUUGCUCCCCAGACUCCUUUUACGCCCAGGAGAGACAGACAAGGGGUUCCCUCCCUUCGAGAUUAAGAGAGAGAGGCUGCGUCUCUGAGCAGCUGCCACUUAACCCACUCCCGGCAACAGCAAGGAGCAGAGGCAGCUUCCAGGGCUACUUCCCCUCAAACUUGGAAGCCCGCUCUACCAGGCAGCUUCAGAAUGAAGCACUGCAGGGAAAUUUCUGGGCAGAGUCUGGGGGAGGCAGCACACUAGGACAAACGCCUAGAGGCCUAACUUCCAAAGUAAAAACCCAGUAUAAAAUGCCAAAGAAAGGCCCAAGCAAGUGAUCAAGGCUCAGUUAAUCCCAUAGAGAGAAACAUCUGGGACAGAGCCAGUCACCUUGACCUUGCUAAUCCUGAACAACAUCAGUGCUGCCUCAAUGCCCCCGUGGAACACCAAGCUGUCUCCGUGCCUUUCCAAGUCCACCCCCUCAAGUGGGUCCGGGUUGGGCUAAAACAGGGGUUCCUAAGAAGGAGCAUUAAUUGUUUCAGAGAAGAGUCAUAAUAACAUCUAACCACUGACUCAGCAAUCCUGAAGGACAGACUGAAGAAAGGGCCUGGCGGAGGGGACAGGGCUGUCGGCUGGUGGUGCUGCUUGGGGAGGGGCCCCCACGCAGACACUAAUCCCCUUCAUUUGGUUCCUCAUCAGAUACAGGAACCAGAGGGCAGGCUCUAAGAGGAUCAGUCUGUUGGGCCGGCAUCUUCUCCCUUUAAUCUCUCUUGAUAUUCUGAUCCUUUAAUUCCAAUGAGACAAGUGAAGGCCGUUCUGUUAAUCCAAAGGGGUUAAGUAAGACUGGCCUUCAGAAGCUACAAGUGAGGGACACUUUUCAUGCCAGAGGGUUCCCUUUGGCAAAGUGGCACCACACCUUGGGAAAGCAGAAAGCAGCCACACUCAGACGGGGGUGGGGGUGGCGGGCAGACCAUUAAAUCAGAUACAAAACCCUUAUCCAUCUGAGGAUUCCAGCCUCCUCAGGCCUAGGACAAUGAGGCCUGCCCUUGUCCCAAAGAACUAAGACACUCAGCUAAGAAAAACAGACUCUACCACUUAGGCAACCUGGGAGCGGGAGCCCAGGAACAUGCAGUGGGUGGGCCUGAAACACUGACAGGCAAUAUUAUCAUGAAAAACAGCACAGCUGUUGGCCCCAUCCACGUGACUGUGUCAGGCCAGGUACCACAGGCGGAUGGUAACACGCAUUUCUGGAAAUGGGAAGUAAAACAGCCCUGCCCACAGGGAAGAGGGUGGGCCUAUCUAAGCCAGGAACCACCGGUGGACACACCCUUGUCAAACAUCCAGGGCUUUCUCCGCAGAAGGCCUAGAAACCCUGUGCAGUGUUAACCCAAAGGCUCUGGCCAGAUAGAAGCUAAUUCCGCCCCAAAAUAUUGAUUCACACCAUCAGGAUCGUUAUAAAGACAUGGCCUUCUCUUUUCUCCUUCUUCUCUUUCCCAACCUACAACAGAAAGCCCUGAGGAAGGGUGCCUGGCUGGCUCAGUCACAAGAGCAUGCAGUUCUUGAUCCUGAGGCCUUGAGUUAAGCUCCACGUUGGCUAUACAGAUCACUUACAUAAAUAAAUAAACUUUAAAAAAAAAAAGGAAAGAAAG
Felis catus (domestic cat) is the source of this 2404-nucleotide long non-coding RNA. RefSeq lists it as uncharacterized. The transcript has 2 exons. NCBI's taxonomy places the organism in Eukaryota, Metazoa, Chordata, Mammalia, Carnivora, Felidae. The record is from RefSeq and is a predicted model, not a curated record.